RNAcentral lists this long non-coding RNA (668 nucleotides) under Homo sapiens (human). RNAcentral describes it as "non-protein coding lnc-HIST1H2BJ-10:4". The record is from RNAcentral. Lineage: Eukaryota; Metazoa; Chordata; Mammalia; Primates; Hominidae.
CCCCUUAUUUUGGGCCAGUGGCUGUCAUUACAUAUGAGAUGAGUCUCUUGAAGACUACAGAUGAGAGCAGUCAUGAUGGCCUGCACUCCACACAAUGCAACAGAGUGAAGGAGCAGGUUCUGGUUCUUUGGUGUAGUCCUGAAGCUUCCUAAGAAAGUUCACAUCAGGUGAUGGAUAGGAGCAACCCUGUAAAACCAGCCUUAGACUAUUUUUCAAACAGGCUGGUGAAUUACCAGAUCUCCGUCAAGUGCAGUAACCAGUUCAAGUUGGAAGUGUGUCUUUUGAAUGCAGAAAACAAAGUCGUGGACAACCAGGCUGGGACCCAGGGCCAGCUGAAGGUGCUGGGUGCCAACCUCUGGUGGCCGUACCUGAUGCACGAACACCCCGCCUACCUGUACUCGUGGGAGGAUGGUGAUUGCUCACACCAAAGCCUUGGACCCCUCCCAGCCUGUGACCUUUGUGACCAACUCCACCUACGCAGCAGACAAGGGGGCUCUGUAUGUGGAUGUGAUCCGUGUGAACAGCUACUACUCUUGGUAUCGCAACUACGGGCACCUGGAGUUGAUUCAGCUGCAGCUGCCCGCCCAGUUUGAGAAUUGGUGUAAGACAUCACAAUCCCAUUAUUCAGAGCGCGUAUGGAGUGGAAACGCUUAUAGGGUUUCACCAGG